Molecule: ribosomal RNA, 497 nt
Filed under: uncultured bacterium
Lineage: Bacteria
Description: partial 16S ribosomal RNA
Rfam family: Bacterial small subunit ribosomal RNA
Source: RNAcentral
GAUGAACGCUGGCGGCGUGCCUAAUACAUGCAAGUCGAGCGAACGGACGAGAAGCUUGCUUCUCUGAUGUUAGCGGCGGACGGGUGAGUAACACGUGGAUAACCUACCUAUAAGACUGGGAUAACUUCGGGAAACCGGAGCUAACACCGGAUAAUAUUUUGAACCGCAUGGUUCAAAAGUGAAAGACGGUCUUGCUGUCACUUAUAGAUGGAUCCGCGCUGCAUUAGCUAGUUGGUAAGGUAACGGCUUACCAAGGCAACGAUGCAUAGCCGACCUGAGAGGGUGAUCGGCCACACUGGAACUGAGACACGGUCCAGACUCCUACGGGAGGCAGCAGUAGGGAAUCUUCCGCAAUGGGCGAAAGCCUGACGGAGCAACGCCGCGUGAGUGAUGAAGGUCUUCGGAUCGUAAAACUCUGUUAUUAGGGAAGAACAUAUGUGUAAGUAACUGUGCACAUCUUGACGGUACCUAAUCAGAAAGCCACGGCUAACUACGUG